CGGAUAUAGUACUUAGUAUGAGAUUUGUAGAGUUUUCUUCUCUGGUUGUAUGUGUGUGUAUAAACUUUAAUGGAGAAAGAUGAGAGUUUGCUCUAGGUGAUUUAGAAAGAGAGAUUGAUGAGAGUGUUUAUGAGAGAAUAAGAAACUUAGGAACAGAGAUUAAGAGACAGAAAGAUUAGGAGAAUAAGAGAUUAGAGAUUAGGGUUUCAGAUUCAAGAACAAGUUUAUCAUUCAUGAAGUGGAGAGGAAAACUCCCCCUUACUCCCUUAAGGCUCCAAAUCGCCACUUACAAGCUUAUUUAUAAGCUCAAUAGGUUUACACAAUCAGAAACCUAAAUCUAAUGGAUAAUAUUAACUUGAGAAAAUGGAUGGUGUAGAUGAGAUGGUCUUCUUGUAAUAUCUGAAGUGUUGGGAGGAUAAGGUUGGCUCCCACUUUAAUUCAAACCAUAGCAACCUGGCUCCUUGCUUGUGAUUGGCUCUCCUUAGGCUCCUCCUAAUCUGCCCAUGCAUCUGUCCAGGUUCAUGGUCGUGGCUCCCUUAUCUUUACAGCAAGAGACAGCAUGUCCAAGACCAGAACUAGCCAAUCACACACAAGGAAGCUCCCAUUGGUUGUUUGCCUCCACAAAGCAUCUUCUUGAUGCCAUAUUGAUUCCUAAUGCAUAAUGCCUUCCAGACAUGCUCUGAUCACACCCUAUCUUUGCACAGUUGGUCUGAUCACGCCCUAAGUUUGCACCAACUUCAAAUGGUCGAGUUAUGCACUUUUGGGAUCGACCUGGUACGUACGGAUCUGUACAGGCCGUACAACGUCCAUACCAAAUCCGUACUACCUCGCCCUAGCAUUGCACACUCGCCCAUUUGCUCCUCAACACUCUUCUAAGUCUCUCCUAGACUUUGCCCUUGCUUAGAACAUCCAUCAGAUCACUUCUGGACGUCUUUGGACACUUCAUAACUCUUGAUAGGCAAUCUCUAAAGCUCUUGCCCUA
This 982-nucleotide long non-coding RNA is filed under the name Brassica napus (rape). RNAcentral describes it as "long non-coding RNA (BNAP_LNC025898)". Lineage: Eukaryota; Viridiplantae; Streptophyta; Magnoliopsida; Brassicales; Brassicaceae. The record is from RNAcentral.